AAAGAAAGCUGGUCAGUUCCUCUUUCUGUUUCUCAAGGGCUUUCCUGUCAGCCUCUGCUUGUGUUCUGAUGGAUCUCUCUGACUGUAGAGCCUUCACUAUUUUGGCCUUUUCCUGCUCCCAACUGACCUCCUUGGUGACCAUCUGCUCCUUCAAGACAGCGUUUUCCAAGUAGAGCUUGCUGACUUGUUUUUCCAUGUCCGAUAUGGUUUUGAACAAGUCCUCAGGCUCUCUGCUGGGACUUUGCUGGUCCAGCACUGGUGGGGCUAGGCAGCCCUUGUUUGCAGGUCCACUAGGAGAGCUGACCCCCUGUUCCAUCCGCUUCUCCAGGGCCUUCUUGUCGGCCUGUAUUUGUUUCUUGAUGCAUCUCUCUGCCUGUAAAGCCUUCAUUAUUUUAGCUUUUUCCUGCUCCCAACCAAGCUCCUUGAUGGCAAACUGCUUCUUCAAAUCAGCAUUUUCUGAUGCCAGCUCAACUUCCUGUUGGACGUCCAAAAGGGUUUUUUGCUCGCUGACUUGUUUUUCGAUGUCCGAUAGGGUUUUGAACAAGUCCUCAGGCUCUCUGCUGGGAGUUUGCUGGUCCAGCACUGGUGGGGCUAGGCAGCCCUUGUUUGCAGGUCCACUAGGAGAGCUGACCCCCUGUUCCAUCCGCUUCUCCAGGGCCUUCUUGUCGGCCUGUAUUUGUUUCUUGAUGCAUCUCUCUGCCUGUAAAGCCUUCAUUAUUUUAGCUUUUUCCUGCUCCCAACCAAGCUCCUUGAUGGCAAACUGCUUCUUCAAAUCAGCAUUUUCUGAUGCCAACUCAACUCGUUGUUGGAUGUCCAAAAGGAUUUUUUUCUGGUCCUGCAUUGUAACAAAGUGGUAGUAUUUGAUAAUGAUAGAAUAACAACGUUUCUGUGAAUUUGUGUCUUUGUAUGAGUAGCUGUCCCUCUGUUCUCACAAGCUGUGUCCCUGGGUGGCUGACAGAUACAAGUGGCAGUUAGAAUGUUUGGUUAGAAUUCAGUCCUAUUUCUUGAUGUCCAGACUGAUGUCACUGAAUGUCAUAUCAUAGAUGAAAGGGUUAGAAUGUGAUGAUGUCAUCGGCCGUGAUGUCAGAAUGUGAUGAUGUCAUCGGCCGGGAUGUCAGAAUGUGAUGAUGUCAUCGGCCGUGAUGUCAGAAUGUGAUGUCACACAGGAAUGUACAGGCUCAAUUACCGAUGUUGUUGUGGCUGCAAGGAAUUAUUUAUUGCCGUCUAUUGAUCACAUUCUAUACUUUUUAAUUUUUAUACUUUUUAAAAAUUACUCGUUGGCUUUACUUUAAAAAAUCAUGGAAAGGAUUUCCACAUGAUUAAAUUGGUUUCUCUCUAUGCUAAACAAUUACGUUGCUCUAACACUAUGUUAUUGUGUUGGGUUAAUAUAGUUUAGUAGAGUUGAAUUGAUAUGAAUGGUUUUAUCACUUUCAACUACAUUUAGUUAAGUUAGUUGAACUUAAUUGAACUUAAUUUAAUUGAGUUCAAAUUAAAUACAUUUAACCUAUUAAUGUCACGGUUUGGGUUCAUGUCUGGUUUUAUUUUGUAGUUUCUUGCCUCUAUUCUCCCUGGGUCACGUCACUUCCUGCCGUGUCCUGUCUUUCCCUGUGAUAGUCUGUCAUGUCAUGAUUGUUUCCAGCUGUUUCCAAUCACCUGCACCUCUCUAGUGUAUUAAGCAAUGCGUGUCUGUUGUCACUUGUGGCGUCAUUACUAAUUGUUGGUUGUCCGAAAACUGACCUAGCAACGGAAAGGGCAACCUUCACUAGCAGCAGGUUGCACAUACAAAACAUAAAAACACAUGGGAACUAGGCAAGUAUAAUUUAGCUAGACCAUCACACAUGCGCUUUUUAACAUUGGAAUCGCUUUUUCAGUCAGAAACAUUCACCGUUUUAUGCCUAGCAGGUCAGUGAGGUGGACCAGGACACUCUUUGAGGGACAGCAGACACAGGACACUUUUCCAGUCAGAAAUUGCUGUAAAAAAGUCAGAUAGAACAAUCAAUUAAUAUCCAUGAAGGUUAAGUUAUUACGUUAUCUUGAUUAAAAAAUAUAUUGUUAUGGAAAGUAACUAAUGUUAACUGGCUAAACUAGUGCAUUGAAGUAAAAAUAAGUAACAUUUUAAGAUACAAGUUCUGAUUGCUUAGGGGUAAUACUUCGAGGCGAGACUCAUGAUUUGCUGCUCCUGACGUUUUUACACUAAAAUAAAUAUGCAGCCAUCUCAAAAAAAUGAUUCAAGCCCUUCUUAGAUGUAACAAGUUUACAUGGUGAUUUCUUUAUUUGAAUAUAUCUAUAAACAGAUGAACAUAUAUAUAAUCAAUAGCAGCAACAUAAAAUGGUUUAAUAGUUUCACUUAUGAGAUUUGUUUAGGUUAAAGCAUGCAUGUGUCAACCAGUGUUAAUUUCGUUGCCGAAAACUAUGACGAAAAUUUUUCGUUAACGAAGCUUUUUUCCAUGACUAAGACUAAGACGUGACGAAAACGAUCUUAAAAAAAAAAAACUAUGACUAAAUCUAUUCUAACUUUCGUUAACGAGACGAGACGAACAUGUUGGUGUUUGACGAAGUCACGAUACUUUUCCCCCCGAAAUUCGCACGCAGCUGACAGACAACAGACCGGCAAAGUACGGCGGAUAUUAACGCGUCACGAUGACGUCAUCCACGAACCCAGAACGCUCGCUCGCGUCGGUGCAGCGGUGGUUUCUUGUGCACCGACUACGGACCGCGACGACUAUUUUACUCUUCGCCGAGUUUGAACGUGGCUUCGUUAGUUUAGCUCGGCUGUCUCUGUUUAGCUGCCUGUUAGCGGGCUGAAGCCGCGCUGCUUCACAGAAACAUGAAGACGCGUUUAAAGACUGUCGGACCUUUCUGCUCUGUUCUCUGGCGACGGCAGGCAGCGUUUCCUCGGUAGAUGAAAUGGUCCGUUACAAACGCGUCUAACGUAAUAAACUCAUUGCAGGUUCUGAAGCCAAGAAAAUAAUGUAUUGCACCGAUUGUAGGACGUUAAGGUCUCUUUUGUUGGGACAGUGGAAACAAUAAAGGACCAUGAAGUGUCAAAAGCAUUGCAAGUAAACAGACAAAGACAACAAAGUGUUGCGUUUAGAUCCCUGGUCCUCAUAAAGUUGUUACACCUUUGGCGAUUUGUUAAAAAGCCUUAACAAUAAAUGCUUUGCUAAUU
This is a long non-coding RNA of Gasterosteus aculeatus aculeatus (three-spined stickleback), 3169 nucleotides long. The record is from Ensembl. NCBI's taxonomy places the organism in Eukaryota, Metazoa, Chordata, Actinopteri, Perciformes, Gasterosteidae.